UAGUUGAGUACAUAUUGAUUUGAAAUAACCAAAACUUUUAACAAAUCACUUUUCUCAGAAGAAUCCAGUAAGAGAAAGAUAAUUUCUUCCAAAGACAUGAGACGUUCCCUGGCUGGCCAAGAAAAAUUGGCAUCUGGCAUACCUAGGAAUCAUUCAAAAUAGUUUAAUAGGAAGGACAUUUUGAGGCCAGCCAGCAUUAUGACAUUUGUGGGUCCUACGGCAUUUCACCUUGGUGGGUCCCUUUUUCAUAAACACGCAUUUAUACCAACACUGACAUAAAGAUAAAUAUCUUAAUAUUAUAUAUUUAAACAUUUUCUUUAACCAACACCUAAUUUUUUUCUUUUUUGUUCUUAUUUUAAAAGGAAACAUUUUCCUGGGCAUCUAAAAGUAUUGUGGACCUGAGACACUGUGCUUACAGGGCCUACUGGGUUGAUUCUAAAGAAGAAAGAAAAUCUAUAUGCAUGAAAAGAUGUCUUAAAAAGUUUUGAACUACUCAAAGUUAAGAUUUGGGGAAAUAGAAAUAGUAUAUAACUUAAGAAAAUUGCCACUGGCUGUGAACCCCCAUGGCAUUUUCUUUGCACUUUUUUGCUUCUCGUUAGAUUGUAUGUGUUUUUACCAUUUCACACAAACUUUUAAAGAUUAUUCCACGCCGUUAGCUCUGUGCUUCUAUUAGUGUCUCUAUCUCUCUUUCUCUCUCUCUUCCAUCUGAGUACAAUG
This 717-nucleotide long non-coding RNA is filed under the name Homo sapiens (human). Its description in RNAcentral is "CA3 antisense RNA 1". The record is from RNAcentral. Lineage: Eukaryota; Metazoa; Chordata; Mammalia; Primates; Hominidae.